UUCGCAAUGCCCGAAAGGGUGACGAAGCGACGCCGCGUGAGCGAAGAAGGCCCUAGGGUUGUAAAGCUCUGUCAGGGGUUAAGAAAUGCAGGCAGGUUAAUACCCUGUUUGUUUGACAAAGGCCCCAAAGGAAGCCACGGCUAACUCUGUGCCAGCAGCCGCGGUAAUACAGAGGUGGCGAGCGUUGUUCGGUAUUAUUGGGCGUAAAGAGCACGUAGGUGGUUUUGUAAGUCAGAUGUGAAAGCCUUCUGUUCAAAGGAAGAACGGCAUCUGAAACUGCUGAUCUUGAGUGUAGGAGGGGAGAGUGGAACUUCUGGUGGAGCGGUGAAAUGCGUAGAUAUCAGAAGGAACGUCGGCGGCGAAAGCGAUUCUCUGGCCUAUUACUGACACUGAGUGUGCGAAAGUUAGGGGAGCAAACGGGAUUAGAUACCCCGGUAGUCCUAACCGUAAACGAUGGGCACUAAGUAGAGGGGUUUU
Molecule: ribosomal RNA, 477 nt
Filed under: uncultured anaerobic ammonium-oxidizing bacterium
Lineage: Bacteria
Description: bacterial SSU rRNA
Rfam family: Bacterial small subunit ribosomal RNA
Source: RNAcentral